AACGAACGCUGGCGGCAGGCCUAACACAUGCAAGUCGAACGCCCUAGCAAUAGGGAGUGGCAGACGGGGUGAGUAACACGUGGGAACCUUCCCCUAUAGUACGGAAUAGCCCAGGGGAAACUUGGAGUAAUACCGUAUACGCCCGAGAGGGGGAAAGAUUUAUCGCUAUAGGAUGGGCCCGCGUAGGAUUAGCUAGUUGGUGAGGUAACGGCUCACCAAGGCGACGAUCCUUAGCUGGUCUGAGAGGACGACCAGCCACACUGGGGACUGAGACACGGCCCAGACUCCUACGGGAGGCAG
Molecule: ribosomal RNA, 300 nt
Filed under: uncultured Pseudomonadota bacterium
Lineage: Bacteria; Pseudomonadati; Pseudomonadota
Description: bacterial SSU rRNA
Rfam family: Bacterial small subunit ribosomal RNA
Source: RNAcentral